GUCCUCGUAGCUUAAUUGGAUAAAGCAGAACCCUUCUAAGGUUAAGACUGGAGGUUCAAGUCCUCCCGAGGACA
Molecule: transfer RNA, 74 nt
Filed under: bacterium
Lineage: Bacteria
Description: tRNA-Arg
Rfam family: tRNA
About the family: Transfer RNA (tRNA) molecules are approximately 80 nucleotides in length. Their secondary structure includes four short double-helical elements and three loops (D, anti-codon, and T loops).
Source: RNAcentral